CUUUGGGAUCAAGGUCUCCUUGACAGUAAGCUGACCCAAGUUUUCUGGAACUGUUGUUCCAUAGCUGGAUAGCUCUGUGCUGCUUUGUACUUAAGUGUUCAAUGGGAUGCAAGCCAUUCUGUCAGAUGGGCUUCUGAAGUGCUGUACUUUGAGAAAGUGUUGAAGCCAGUUACUGUUCUAUCUCUCCAGAAUAACACCCAGCCUGCAGCCUACUGCAGAACCGAGACUUUCAUUUUGCCACAGGACACCUCAGCAGUCCUGCAGCAGGCCAAAAAGACGCUUCACCUCAAGGACUCUCAUGAGUAGAAAAGCAACAAAGCUAUGCAGUAAUAUAGUGGAGGCUUUGCAAUAAU
Molecule: long non-coding RNA, 353 nt
Organism: Harpia harpyja (harpy eagle)
Lineage: Eukaryota; Metazoa; Chordata; Aves; Accipitriformes; Accipitridae
Exons: 3
Source: RefSeq, a predicted model, not a curated record